UUCUUACAGACACAUCCUAAUCUUAUCUCUAACACUAUCCUAAACAAUCUCCAGUUCCGAAGUCAGAUUUCCUCAUCUCACAACACACUCUUGAGCUCUUUAAUUUAGCCAAGAUGAGGAUGUGUCUGUAAGGUCUUCAUGACCUUUAACAUCCGAUGAGGCUGGAUUUUUGAAACCCUAGCUGAGAUGCGCAAAUCCUAGGUGGUCUUUUACUUCGCCAAUCUUCGUUUUCACUCGAAGAUCUUGGUUUUGAGUGCCCGAUCUUCGUUUGUUACUCGAAGAUCUUUGUUUAUAGUGGCUGGUCUUCGUUUUCUCUCGUCUAUCUUCGUUUUUAGUGGCCGAUCUUCAUUUUUACUCGAAGAUUUGGGUUUUGAUUAGUCGAUCUUCGUUUUCACUGGUAAUUUGAAGGCUCUAACGUUGAGUGAUGAUCUAGAUUUUGCUUACUACCCUCUUUCACGCCAUUGGCUCUCAGAUAAGUAAACUACCCAGUUUUUUUUAUUUAUUUAGAUUGGCAUUUUAAUCUAUUAUUAUAUCCUAUCGUAUACUAUAUAUUCUUGAAUCUGAUUUUCAUUCUUAUUUAUACAUUUAGCAUAUCUGUAUGCCUCCGUACAGUGUUCAUCACUGUAGAUAGACAUUCAAGGCAGGUUUCGUGCAAUCUUCUCUAAGAUAAGUGAAAUACAAAAAAAAAAAAAAAAAAAAAAAAAAAAAAAAAAAAAUCUCUAAAUUCGUAUUUUAGCAUAGUCUACAAAUUUGUAUCUCUUUUUGGCUAUUACAUUAUUUUUUUUCCGAAGGGAGUAGUUAGGGUUUAAACUAAAUUCACUAAUCUUAACUUUCAGGGGUGCAUUGUUCAUAUUUCUUUCUAUAAGAGAAAGAUGGGAAGCUUAGCAUGCAUCAAUAAUGGUAAAUAGCCUUCCGAUUUGUGGUAGGAAUAGCUAUAGAUUUGUGCAGCAGAACAGAAUGUGUGCAGUGAAGUAAAAGCAUCGCAAGUUGUACAAAUCAGAUCACCUGAUUGUUCAUAAAGCUUUCCGUUACAUCCUGGUGACAUGCAAGAGAUGUACAUCCAUCCAAAAGAACCUUCAAUGGCCACAAUUUCAGCAGAUCACCUACCGUAGUUACAGUCAAAGCACCACUGGUGAAGUCAUCAAUUCCUGUUGAUUGAGACAGCACUAUUGCAAUAUUGAUACUGCGUAAAGGGCUGUUUGAAGCAGUUAACCUACAGGUGAUACGAACUGCAGAUAUGGUGAAGUUGGGAGGGGAUUUCUCCAUCGACAGAGGCUUAUAUAGAAUGUAAAACUAUGGAUUUCAAAAUCUUGAAUGUUAUCUUGGAAGUAUGAAUGGUGCUGUCGACCUUUCAGUUUCCAAGACCAUGUUGAGCAGACAUUUAAAUCAGUUUGAGAAAUAUGUUUUCGAAGCAGUGCACGACAAUAUGAACACUGUGUUUAGAAGUCUGUAAUUAUUAGAAGUCUAUUUAAAUUGAUUUAUUUUGCUUGGUAUUACCAAAAAGUAGCCGGCACAAUUAAAUUCCACGAGUAAAGCUUUG
Ipomoea nil (Japanese morning glory) is the source of this 1540-nucleotide long non-coding RNA. RefSeq lists it as uncharacterized. The transcript has 4 exons. The record is from RefSeq and is a predicted model, not a curated record. NCBI's taxonomy places the organism in Eukaryota, Viridiplantae, Streptophyta, Magnoliopsida, Solanales, Convolvulaceae.